RNAcentral lists this ribosomal RNA (584 nucleotides) under uncultured bacterium. Its description in RNAcentral is "partial 16S ribosomal RNA". It matches the Rfam family "Bacterial small subunit ribosomal RNA", at positions 355 to 936 of the family's 1533-position model. The record is from RNAcentral.
UGGGGAAUAUUGCACAAUGGGCGCAAGCCUGAUGCAGCCAUGCCGCGUGUGUGAAGAAGGCCUUCGGGUUGUAAAGCACUUUCAGCGAGGAGGAAGGUGGUGAACUUAAUACGUUCAUCAAUUGACGUUACUCGCAGAAGAAGCACCGGCUAACUCCGUGCCAGCAGCCGCGGUAAUACGGAGGGUGCAAGCGUUAAUCGGAAUUACUGGGCGUAAAGCGCACGCAGGCGGUUUGUUAAGUCAGAUGUGAAAUCCCCGGGCUCAACCUGGGAACUGCAUUUGAAACUGGCAAGCUAGAGUCUCGUAGAGGGGGGCUAGAAUUCCAGGUGUAGCGGUGAAAUGCGUAGAGAUCUGGAGGAAUACCGGUGGCGAAGGCGGCCCCCUGGAUGAAGACUGACGCUCAGGUGCGAAAGCGUGGGGCAGCAAACAGGAUUAGAUACCCUGGUAGUCCACGCUGUAAACGAUGUCGAUUUUGGAGGUUGUGCCCUUGAGGCGUGGCUUCCGGAGCUAACGCGUUAAAGUCGACCGCCUGGGGAGUACGGCNCAAGGUUAAAACUUAAAUGAAUUGCGGGUCUAGCUGUUCC